Molecule: ribosomal RNA, 769 nt
Filed under: Arthrobacter sp. Pr4
Lineage: Bacteria; Bacillati; Actinomycetota; Actinomycetes; Micrococcales; Micrococcaceae
Description: bacterial SSU rRNA
Rfam family: Bacterial small subunit ribosomal RNA
Source: RNAcentral
GCUACAUGCAGUCGACGAUGAAGCUCCUGCUUGCAGGGGUGGAUUAGUGGCGAACGGGUGAGUAACACGUGAGUAACCUGCCCUUGACUCUGGGAUAAGCCUGGGAAACUGGGUCUAAUACUGGAUAUUCAGCAAUUACUGCAUGGUGGUUGUUGGAAAGGGUUUCUGGUCAAGGAGGGACUCGCGGCCUAUCAGCUUGUUGGUGAGGUAAUGGCUCACCAAGGCGACGACGGGUAGCCGGCCUGAGAGGGUGACCGGCCACACUGGGACUGAGACACGGCCCAGACUCCUACGGGAGGCAGCAGUGGGGAAUAUUGCACAAUGGGCGAAAGCCUGAUGCAGCGACGCCGCGUGAGGGAUGACGGCCUUCGGGUUGUAAACCUCUUUCAGUAGGGAAGAAGCGAAAGUGACGGUACCUGCAGAAGAAGCGCCGGCUAACUACGUGCCAGCAGCCGCGGUAAUACGUAGGGCGCAAGCGUUAUCCGGAAUUAUUGGGCGUAAAGAGCUCGUAGGCGGUUUGUCGCGUCUGCCGUGAAAGUCCGGGGCUUAACUCCGGAUCUGCGGUGGGUACGGGCAGGCUAGAGUGCUGUAGGGGAGACUGGAAUUCCUGGUGUAGCGGUGAAAUGCGCAGAUAUCAGGAGGAACACCGAUGGCGAAGGCAGGUCUCUGGGCAGUAACUGACGCUGAGGAGCGAAAGCAUGGGGAGCGAACAGGAUUAGAUACCCUGGUAGUCCAUGCCGUAACGUUGGGCACUAGAUGUGGGGAACAU